This is a long non-coding RNA of Pseudopipra pipra, 372 nucleotides long. RefSeq lists it as uncharacterized. NCBI's taxonomy places the organism in Eukaryota, Metazoa, Chordata, Aves, Passeriformes, Pipridae. The record is from RefSeq and is a predicted model, not a curated record. The transcript has 2 exons.
UCUGUGAAGUAAUUUUUUUCUUGUAGUUCCAUACCAAGUUUUGAAUUGUUGCUGUUUUAAUGAAGUAUGUUCAUUGAUUUUGCAUCCAUUGGUUUCAGAAUCCAAAUCUGGGGAAAAAAGUACUAUCUUUCUGAAAUGUCUCUCAAACAUGAAAGCCUAGAGAAAACUUUUUUUUGUGAGUAAAAAGAAGCCUCCAGGAUGAUCCUUAUGCAAUACAAAUCAUGUGUUUUUCAGACUGAAUGCACUCCCUUUAUUCACCUUUUCAGAGAGUAUCGGCCAGAAUACGAGCGCCUGAGAAAAACACUGAAUCCACAGGUAAAUCUUUGUCUACGGGAGAAAGCUCAAAAUAAACAAAAGAGAGAGCAGCUGGAA